RNAcentral lists this long non-coding RNA (807 nucleotides) under Equus caballus (horse). RNAcentral describes it as "lncRNA (ENSECAG00000058969.1)". Lineage: Eukaryota; Metazoa; Chordata; Mammalia; Perissodactyla; Equidae. The record is from RNAcentral.
GAACAAGCCAGGAGGUACCAGAGUCAUUCUUCAGUGAUGUAAAUGCUACACAGGGCAUGUAAAUGCUUAUAGGACUUAUUGUUCCGAGGAUAUGGACUCAGACAGAGGAACACUGGCCAGCAUGCUAGGGACGUGACAUUAGGUUGUCAUUCUGUGGAAGGGUUCUGGCAAAAGCCAGUUGUGUUUCUAGAAUUUCAAUCCAGUGAGUUGGAGUUUAGGGGAACUGGAAGGCAAGCAAGGAAGUUCUAGGGGGUAAAUUCCGGCUUUAGGAUUGGGCUGACGCAAUGAAAGUUGUAGGGAAAUCAGACUGGGAACCAGGUGGACUCCCAGAGGGACUCAUUCCAGAGAUUAUGGUGUCAAGUCUAAUUGACAACUGUGCCCCAGCACCAGAGAAGCUAACAUUGCUGGAUCAGAUCAGGGAUAGGCUGGGGAAAUGGAAUUAAUUCUAAGAUCCGUAAGAUGCUUGAUAAAUAUAGACAGCGCUUACCUAGCGCUGAUUUUGUUCUAGGAACUGUUGAAGCGCUUUACAUGUAUUGUUACAGUUCACCUGCAGAGCAACUCCUAGAGUUGACUUGGGCACCAGAAGGGGACUUUAUCUGCAUGUGAAGAUCCCCAGAACUUGCCCCAGCUGGGAGGGUCAGAGAAAGGCAAGAAGCUGCUGUACAGCGUACUUAUCAUGAGUACCAGUUUUGGGGUCUGACUGCCUUCGGAUGAAUCCUGUUCUUUCAUUCAUUAGCUAUGUGACCUUAGACAAGUCAUUGAACGUUAACAAGAAUGACAAUGCUAGGCCAUCUCAGAGGGUAUUGU